RNAcentral lists this ribosomal RNA (400 nucleotides) under uncultured bacterium. RNAcentral describes it as "bacterial SSU rRNA". It matches the Rfam family "Bacterial small subunit ribosomal RNA", at positions 362 to 776 of the family's 1533-position model. The record is from RNAcentral.
UAUUGGACAAUGGGGGGAACCCUGAUCCAGCGACGCCGCGUGAGUGAGGAAGUAUCUCGGUAUGUAAAGCUCUAUCAGCAGGGAAGAAAGAAAUGACGGUACCUGAGUAAGAAGCCCCGGCUAACUACGUGCCAGCAGCCGCGGUAAUACGUAGGGGGCAAGCGUUAUCCGGAAUUACUGGGUGUAAAGGGAGCGUAGACGGUUAUGCAAGUCUGGAGUGAAAGGCGGGGGCUCAACCCCCGGACUGCACUGGAAACUGUAGAACUAGAGUGCAGGAGGGGUAAGUGGAAUUCCUAGUGUAGCGGUGAAAUGCGUAGAUAUUAGGAGGAACACCAGUGGCGAAGGCGGCUUACUGGACUGUAACUGACGUUGAGGCUCGAAAGCGUGGGGAGCAAACAGG